UCCCCGCACCCGCAGCCCCCGCCGUCGUCCUCGCGGCCAGCCGAGGACAGCCACCGCGCCCGCAAAUCACACGACCAUGCCCUUCCAUGCCCGCAAAUCACGUCACCCCUUCCAUCCAUGGCAGUCGCGCUCCCUCUGCGCCCUUCCAUCCAUGGUCGCGGAUCCCUACGCGCCGCGAUUCUUCCCAUACGCUCCCUCUGCGCCCUUCCAUCCAUGGCCGCGGAUCCCCGAUGUUGAGAUCUGGGAGCUGAAGCUGGAGAUCUCGCGGAUGCGGGUGCGGCUGACGGCGGACGACGGACGGCGCAAGAAUUGCGGCGGCCGGAGCUCCCAGUGCUCCGACGGCAAGGCCCGCAGGCGGUAGAAGGCAUCCUUCGCCUAUGACUGAUGCUUCGCUGCUGGCGUCGACAGUGGAGGCGCGACAGGCGGUGAUCGUGGAUGGAUGCGGUCUCAGCGUCUGGAGGAUCGGUCGGAGCUAAGCAGGGACGGUGGCUGCUGACAGCUGAGUGAUACGUGUAUUUCUAGGAAGAUCAAGCCCAGAGCUGUCGCAGAGCCAGAAGUGCAUCUACUUCCACGGCACCGUCAGCAAGGACCUCCUCACACACAAGUUGGUCAUCCAGCUCUCUAGGAAGAUCAAGGACGACAUAUGAAGACUGGAGUACUUUGAAGUUUGAUGAACAACAAGGACAUCCUCACGCACAAGUUUGAUGAACAGUCAACAAAAUUCUUGAGCCAGUUCACUCCAACCCAAUGGGACAAGGAUCAGUGGCAUCCUUUCAUGGGGCCACUGCGGUCCAUCCAAGUGUUGUUCAUUUGUGUUGUCUUCAUGAUCGUGGAGAUCAACACAUUCUUCCUUAAGCUUGUGUCCUGUUGCCGAGUUCCUCAAAAGGACAAAGUCGUUACUGUGGUUCAGUCUCUACUUGAAUGAUAUUAGUGACAAGGUAAAACUAUUCCUUUAUUGUUAAUUAUUUUCUAUAUGCAUGAUGGCAGUAACUAAAAUAUUGGAUUGUGUUGGACAUACAACAAGUUCUAGAAGCCAUUAGCUAACCACAUAAUCACUGACCUUAACCCAGUGACCAUUUAACAACGUAUAUAAUAUAAAUUUACAUUAGAUGCUUUAUUUUUGCACUGUAGACCUAUUGCACAUAUAAGUGCUCCUUAGAACUUAGGUUGUUAUUUUCAGUCUCAUUAUUCCAUUCUUUACUAAAGAAUUGUACAUCAAACAAAUUUAUGUAGUACAUAUAUUGCAGAGGUCCUCAAAAUCUACACCAAGUUAUGUCAGGGACUAUAUCUCCACUCAACUCAUUUUAACCUUGUACAUUUCAAUCAAAUCCAAAUACAUGUGAAAUAAAUGUAGUAGGUUACUCUGACCAGUGUUGCGCUCGCGCGCCAGCAUGCUCGGACUAACCAACGAAAAAGGUGAAGUGGGAUGGUAUACCAUUUGCAAUUGACAUUUAUGGUUUUUGCUACGCUGGCACUCAGUGUUUCCAAAUAUCUAUUAGUCAAUGUGCGAUCGUACCAAAUUCAACAGGGCUCUCUACAUAUGGUAUGUAUAACUAUCUCAAUUUGAACUGCAUUCUGGUGGGAGUCGCUCUUAUUGUUUAGUAAUCAUUUUUCUCAAUGUUAUGUCUAACCGUGUUAUUCAAUUUUGCAAUAUGCACGGCAAUUUAUGGUGCUAUAUCUAUUAUAGGCUACCUCAUGUUUGGAGACAAGAUGCUCUCAUAAAUAACUUUCAAUCUUCUGAAAGAUUCAUUUGCAGCAAAAGUUGCACGAUGGACCACGAUAACUAUUAUUGUCGGUUUCUCUGAUUCAAUUAAGUGGGAACCCUUGGUAGUGAUUCAAUUAAGUGAGAAGUGAGAACCCUCAUUGUGCUAUUUUUUUGUUUCAGGGUUGUUAUCUAUCUUUGUAGCCGAAGAAACAAUCCUGAGAAAGAAUGGAAAGCUCCUUGGCUAGGAAUAAUGUUUCUAAGUGGAAUCACCUGGGUUAUGCGAGAAGCACAUCAAUGGAUUCCACUGGUCCUCUGUUAGCUGGUAGGAGAAGUAGCAGACAUGGCUCAAGUGAGAUGGGGGACUGCAUAUUCAGCUCAAUGAGACAUUUUCUUCAGUUGGCGAAUCAAUUACUAGGAGAAUUUGUUAGAUAUUAAGAUUAAUAGUAACAUGUAUUAAUUCAAUUUUAUAUAAUCGUUGUGCACCAACAUUUUAUUUGAAAGGGAGAAAUAAAUCCUAGCAAAAUUGACUAUGGGAGAAGGGAUAUAGGAACAAAAAUGGAAUAUGGGAGAGGGAACAAACUCAUCGGCCUAUGCGCCUUGAUUAGAAUGUCUCCUAAAAGUUUUAGGUAUUGAAAAUAUGAUAGGACAUUUAUUGUAAUAUGUUUAUUUUCUGAAAUACUAAUUUUGAUGUAUAGAAUAUUGAC
Molecule: RNA transcript, 2409 nt
Organism: Zea mays
Lineage: Eukaryota; Viridiplantae; Streptophyta; Magnoliopsida; Poales; Poaceae
Gene name: amino acid transporter - CDP-diacylglycerol--serine O-phosphatidyltransferase pseudogene
Exons: 3
Source: RefSeq, marked validated